RNAcentral lists this ribosomal RNA (456 nucleotides) under uncultured bacterium. RNAcentral's name for it is "bacterial SSU rRNA". It matches the Rfam family "Bacterial small subunit ribosomal RNA", at positions 923 to 1379 of the family's 1533-position model. The record is from RNAcentral.
GCACAAGCGGUGGAGCAUGUGGUUUAAUUCGACGCAACGCGAAGAACCUUACCUGGGCUCGAAAUGGUGUGGACCGGGGUAGAAAUAUCCUUUCCUAGCAAUAGGCCGCACUAUAGGUGCUGCAUGGCUGUCGUCAGCUCGUGUCGUGAGAUGUUGGGUUAAGUCCCGCAACGAGCGCAACCCUUAUCUCCAGUUGCCAUCAUUCAGUUGGGCACUCUGGCGAAACCGCCUCGGAUAACGGGGAGGAAGGUGGGGAUGACGUCAAGUCCUCAUGGCCUUUAUGUCCAGGGCUACACACGUGCUACAAUGGCCGGUAUAAACCGCUGCAAACCCGCGAGGGGGAGCUAAUCGGAAAAAGCCGGCCUCAGUUCGGAUCGCAGUCUGCAACUCGACUGCGUGAAGCUGGAAUCGCUAGUAAUCGCAGAUCAGAAUGCUGCGGUGAAUACGUUCCCGGGC